CCACGGGGGAAAGAAAAUGCGAGCCGACGAGAGCCAUUGCUAGCCCACGUUCGUGCUGCCAUGACACAACGUGGUCACGUGGUCUUGGACGGUAGCGUCGGCGGCGUAUGCUAUGGCGGCGUUGGCUUGCAUCCGUAGCUCUAGUAAUUGCGAGUGUUCGUCGCUUGUGCUUGUACUGCAAUGUACGCGUCGGUCAGAUUUCGCGACGACGACGCGCGAGAUGUCGUUAGCAUCGGAGAUAUAAAAAAUUUCAGCUCUCAAAGCAUUUCAGACUACCAAAGCAACAGGUGGUACAAAGUGCACUGGAAGGACGACCAUCAAAGUGGCUUUUCUUCGAGCGCAGAUUCUGCGGUUGUUUGAGACAAAAGCGGCUGCACAUCAACCGACAAGGCGGGUCCCACUUCCUCCACGCCCGUCGGACAGUGAGGACAGCGAAAUGUCAAUGUCCAGCGCGGAUUCAUUGGACGAGUUUUUUUCAGGCACUACCUUGAGAAGCGGUGCAGCAGUGAAGAUGACAUAACAAGGAGGCACAACAUGCUCGGAAAGAUUGCGGAUCUGAUGAAGUAAUUUUGUAAAUAUUAUUUGUAAAUAAAUACAUGCCUACUUU
Molecule: long non-coding RNA, 607 nt
Organism: Dermacentor albipictus
Lineage: Eukaryota; Metazoa; Arthropoda; Arachnida; Ixodida; Ixodidae
Source: RefSeq, a predicted model, not a curated record